Anas platyrhynchos (mallard) is the source of this 2454-nucleotide non-coding RNA. The record is from RefSeq and is a predicted model, not a curated record. NCBI's taxonomy places the organism in Eukaryota, Metazoa, Chordata, Aves, Anseriformes, Anatidae.
CCCUAUAUUUACAAUACCUUUUGACUGAGAUGUCUAAGGGCUUUAAACAUAUGCUUUAAGCAGCGGACAGUCAGGGCUGACAUUUGUUACAAAUCUUUUCAGAGGGCCAUGUGGAAGAGAUCUAAUCCGGGAAGAGCCACUGCCUCCCUGUGUGAUCUGCCACAGUGACAUAUCACUUGACCUCAGGCACGGCAGCUGUACAGCUAGGUGGAAAAAUAGGGCCGGGCAGCAAACCAGGGGAUGGAUGCCUUUCAGCAGAGCUUUCCUGAGUAAAUAAUUUUCAAAUCGGUGCCUUGGCUCCUUUCUUAUUCCUCUGAAAGUUUUGGGUUUAGAUCAAAAUGAGGUUUUGCACCACUUCUUUUGGAUUUUUUUUUUUGAAUGAAUGUGUUAACGCGGUCGUGUAAUGUUUGUUAUUUUUUGUAGUAUUUGUAGGACAGAAGACAAAAGCCUGCUGUGAUAGAUGAGCUGUCGAAGCAAGGCUUCGGGCAGUGCUGCGGGGCAGGAGCAGGGCCGGCAUUCUUCUGGGGGCAAAAUACUGCGAAAGGCGGUGCAGCCCGUUACGAAACAGGGGAUGGCUGCGGCGGGCUGAGGAAAUCCUAGCCGGGAACACUCGCUGAGCCUCCCGAGAGCCGUGCCGAGCCGUGCCGUGCCGGCACCGCGGCUGCAGAGGGCGCAGCGUCCUCGCCGGAGCCGCCCCGGGGAGCCCCCCCCACCCCCGAGCCCUCCGGUGCCACCAAAAUCUUUGCACACCUGUGCGCUCCCCGGCACGUUUUGGGGGGAGAGCCCUCGAGCCGCUGAACAUCUGGAGAGCCACCCCAGUUGGCAGCUGGUGUCCCCUGUCUGCAAAGAAGCCUUUAGUGGGUACGAUGCUGGUGCUGUCACAUCAUUGUGCACCGUGCUGCAGGGCAGAGGGAGAGGAGAGGUGUCCACCUGUGCCACAGGGAGCAGGACACCAAGGUGCCUUGUUGUGGAGAGUGUGCUGCAAAAGCAGGGGCUGGAAAAGGAGGAGGGAAAACUCUCCCAAACCAUAAAGCUUGCAGACAGGAUAAAGGCUGUUGUAGGGUGCUUUAAACCCAAAUUGGUUGAAGUCCAAUCAUGAUGGGACCUUAAGUGGUAAGGUGCAGCUUCCAUCCCCAGGUAUGUGACAAUCCCAGCUGUACAAAAAGACACAGGCCAAGCAACGCUGGAAACAAACACAUAAAAACAAUCUCAUUCCAGCUUGCAGCUAACAAUCUCUGCAGCACAGCCUCUGCUGGAGCCACCAGCUGCCGGAGCUGACGUCCUCUCUGAGCAGCCCCGGCCCUCCUGCGUUCCCGAGCCCUCAGAUGACAGCACGUGGAUGUGCAGCCAGCCGUCAGCGGCGCAUGCCGAGCGGGUUUGUUACAAAAAUAGCAACACAAUGGGUCUUCCCAUUUUCCAGGGCGUCUUCCCCAGCCCUUACCCUUUUUACUGCCUCCGGGGAAACGUACAGGCAUGUGAGGUGCUGUGUCCCAGCUGGACAUGAACUGGAGGCAUCACCAACUUCUGACAGCUUUACCAACUCUGCAGUUUAGAACUAUGCAUUUAGGAAUUGCCUCAGUUUCUCUGUGACUGAUAAUGUUUGGGUUAUUACAUCUGGGCAGAUCGUUACAAAUAAAAUUUGAUUUUCACCAGUGACCUUUAAUUUCAUGUAACAUGAACACAGACAAAAGCUAGGUAGUUUCUGUUUCUGUUUUUCAGACGUGUGCAUGUGAAUUGACAAUAGACCAAGGGAAGAUGAGGUCUGUAAAAUAUUUCUUUCAUUUCUGUUUUAAUGUUUCCUGCUGGUUUUGUACUAUAGCUUUGGAUCACAACUGUGAUUUCCUCUGUUGCUGUAAAGAAGAUGAAAAAUGUUCACCAUCCCUGGUAUAUGUGAUGUCAUACCUACUGCAUUUUUGUUUUCUAGAUUUUCUGGAUGGGGUGUCUCAUGACAACAGAGUCAAAGACAAUGAUGAUUCUAAGCCAAACUUUUGAAUCAUUUAUUCCAACUUUCUGAACUGAGAAAAAUACCUUUCUCCGUAUUUACACUUGACUUUAAAUUAACUUUUGGAUACUUGCAGUAACAGCAUCCCCCAACAACAGAAGUCAGUGAGACCUUGUGAAGCUGCAUCCCUUCACUUAGUAGCCUACAAUAAGAAGGCUACAGUUUAAAAAAAAAAAUCUGUACUUUUUUUGGUGUUUUUUGUUUGUUUUAUUGUGUUCUCUUUUUCCUGGCAGAUUCUAAUCUAUAUGAAGUCUGACAAUGUCCUUUUUCCUAAACAAUGAUAUAUUUUGUUGUAUAUAUUGUACUUUCAUAUGCAUAUCCCAUGUAAUAAAAAUAAAGAAACAAUAUGCAUCUUGUCCCUGGAAGGGGCAAAGUCUCUGUAGAAUAAUAUUACUGCUGCAGACUGUUUAAGGGGCCUCUGUUCUAUGGUGUCCAGUAAAAUAAUUACUGCU